GCGAAGGUAGCGUAAUCACUUGUUCUUUAAUUGAGGACUAGUAUGAAUGGCUUCACGAGGACUAUACUGUCUCCUUUUUCUAAUCAAUGAAACUAAUCUCCCCGUGAAGAAGCGGGGAUAACUUUAUAAGACGAGAAGACCCUAUGGAGCUUUAAACAAUUGAAAUAUUUGCUUUUACUAACUACCUCCGUGGCCUAAAUAUAUUUAAGCAUUAUUAAUUUCUAGUUUUAGGUUGGGGUGACCACGGAGUAAAAUUUAACCUCCACGCUGAAAGUAAAGCCUUCUUAGCAAAAAGCCACAUCUUUAUGCAUCACUAAACUGACUUACAUUGACCCAAUUAUUUGAUCAACGAACCAAGUUACCCUAGGGAUAACAGCGCAAUCUACCUCAAGAGCCCGUAUCGACAGGUAGGUUUACGACCUCGAU
RNAcentral lists this ribosomal RNA (426 nucleotides) under Phyllobates vittatus. RNAcentral describes it as "partial large subunit ribosomal RNA". It matches the Rfam family "Bacterial large subunit ribosomal RNA", at positions 1950 to 2530 of the family's 2925-position model. The record is from RNAcentral. Lineage: Eukaryota; Metazoa; Chordata; Amphibia; Anura; Dendrobatidae.